RNAcentral lists this ribosomal RNA (254 nucleotides) under uncultured bacterium. Its description in RNAcentral is "partial 16S ribosomal RNA". It matches the Rfam family "Bacterial small subunit ribosomal RNA", at positions 524 to 776 of the family's 1533-position model. The record is from RNAcentral.
CACGUAGGGCGCAAGCGUUGUCCGGAAUUACUGGGCGUAAAGGGCUCGUAGGCGGCCAACUAAGUCAGACGUGAAAUCCCUCGGCUUAACCGGGGAACUGCGUCUGAUACUGGAUGGCUUGAGAUUGGGAGAGGGAUGCGGAAUUCCAGGUGUAGCGGUGAAAUGCGUAGAUAUCUGGAGGAACACCGGUGGCGAAGGCGGCAUCCUGGACCAACACUGACGCUGAGUGAGCGAAAGCCAGGGGAGCAAACGGG